UACGUAGGGCGCAAGCGUUGUCCGGAAUCACUGGGUGUAAAGGGUGCGUAGGCAGAUGGAUAAGUCAGCGGUGAAAUCUCACGGCUCAACCGUGAAACUGCCGAUGAUACUGUCCAUCUUGAGUUCGGGAGAGGUCGAUGGAAUUCCAGGUGUAGCGGUGAAAUGCGUAGAGAUGUGGAGGAACACCAGUGGCGAAGGCGGCUCUUUGGUCUGUAACUGACGCUGAGGCGCGAAAGCGUGGGGAGCAAACAGG
RNAcentral lists this ribosomal RNA (253 nucleotides) under uncultured bacterium. RNAcentral's name for it is "partial 16S ribosomal RNA". It matches the Rfam family "Bacterial small subunit ribosomal RNA", at positions 524 to 776 of the family's 1533-position model. The record is from RNAcentral.